ACGCACGCUGGCGGCGUGCUUAACACCUGCCAGUCGAACGGAAAGGCCCUGCUUGCAGGGUGCUCGAGUGGCGAACGGGUGAGUAACACGUGGGUGAUCUGCCCCUUAUUUUGGGAUAAGCCUGGGAAACUGGGUCUAAUACUGGAUAGGACCAUGCUGUAGGUGGUGUGGUGGAAAGAUUAGUUUCGGUAAGGGAUGAGCUCGCGGCCUAUCAGCUUGUUGGUGGGGUAAUGGCCUACCAAGGCGUCGACGGGUAGCCGGCCUGAGAGGGUGGACGGCCACAUUGGGACUGAGAUACGGCCCAGACUCCUACGGGAGGCAGCAGUGGGGAAUAUUGCACAAUGGGCGCAAGCCUGAUGCAGCGACGCCGCGUGGGGGAUGACGGCCUUCGGGUUGUAAACUCCUUUCAGCCAUGACGAAGCCCUUGUGGUGACGGUAGUGGUAGAAGAAGCACCGGCUAACUACGUG
This 468-nucleotide ribosomal RNA is filed under the name uncultured bacterium. RNAcentral describes it as "partial 16S ribosomal RNA". It matches the Rfam family "Bacterial small subunit ribosomal RNA", at positions 29 to 507 of the family's 1533-position model. The record is from RNAcentral.